Drosophila melanogaster (fruit fly) is the source of this 663-nucleotide non-coding RNA. The record is from Ensembl. Lineage: Eukaryota; Metazoa; Arthropoda; Insecta; Diptera; Drosophilidae.
AUUCGCUUCAUGUAGCGAUGCCGGCCGGUACAAAAAAUAAGCAUAAAAUGGAAUAAUUAUAAGGGGAAGCAGAACAAGCAAAGAGUGUACACCGAAAGAAAAUGCAUAAAUUCUGAACUUUAAAGAACCCUUUUUUUUAAUGUCAUAUAUAGCACGCCAAAAAGUAUGCCACACUCGAUUUUAUCCCGGUACUUUAGUCACUUUAAGCAUGAGUUUUAGUGGAACUUUUAUUACAGUGUAAGCAGAGGCGAGUUGUAGAGGAAAGUAAAAGGUUUCUGCCGACAAAAAAGAGCACGGAGCAUGGGGAGAAAAGGGAAAGAGCUCUGCAGUCUGGAAAUCGUAUGACGAUGUGGAAUGUUGGGACAUGGAAAUGGAAGUGCAGUUUACUGGCAUUGCCAGACGCUUUGGCUUUCGGCUGGCAACAAAAUUCACAUAAAUAAAACUUGAGCCGAGUCAGUCGGAGUCGGAGCCUUAGCUAAAAUCGGAGUCGGACUGGAAAUCGGGGUAUGCAUACGUAUGUACACAUGGCUGGUGGCAUGAUCGCCAGAAAUGAGAGAGUUGGAGUUGGAGCCACCAACUAUAAACACCGCAUCCCCUUACACUCGGAGAAAUCGAAGAAGAUCCGACAAAGUCGAACCAUGAUUACGAGCCUUAAGUGUUUAC